CAAAACGUAACUUAACUAAAGUACCUCGCUUACACCGAGAACAUAUCUGUUCAACCCAGAUCGUUUUGAG
This 70-nucleotide transfer RNA is filed under the name Scinax garbei (Eirunepe snouted treefrog). Its description in RNAcentral is "tRNA-Val". It matches the Rfam family "tRNA". Rfam says of the family: Transfer RNA (tRNA) molecules are approximately 80 nucleotides in length. Their secondary structure includes four short double-helical elements and three loops (D, anti-codon, and T loops). The record is from RNAcentral. Lineage: Eukaryota; Metazoa; Chordata; Amphibia; Anura; Hylidae.